This 468-nucleotide ribosomal RNA is filed under the name uncultured bacterium. Its description in RNAcentral is "partial 16S ribosomal RNA". It matches the Rfam family "Bacterial small subunit ribosomal RNA", at positions 28 to 523 of the family's 1533-position model. The record is from RNAcentral.
GAUGAACGCUGGCGGCGUGCCUAACACAUGCAAGUCGAGCGAUCUUCUCCGGAAGAGAGCGGCGGACGGGUGAGUAACGCGUGGGUAACCUGCCCUGUACACACGGAUAACAUACCGAAAGGUAUGCUAAUACGAGAUAAUAUACUUUUAUCGCAUGGUAGAAGUAUCAAAGCUCCGGCGGUACAGGAUGGACCCGCGUCUGAUUAGCUAGUUGGUAAGGUAACGGCUUGCCAAGGCGACGAUCAGUAGCCGACCUGAGAGGGUGAUCGGCCACAUUGGAGCUAAGACACGGUCCAAACUCCUACGGGAGGCAGCAGUGGGGAACAUUGCACAAUGGGGGAAAGCCUGAUGCAGCAACGCCGCGUGAGCGAUGAAGGCCUUCGGGUCGUAAAGCUCUGUCCUCAAGGAAGAUAAUGACGGUACUUGAGGAGGAAGCCCCGGCUAACUACGUGCCAGCCGCCGCAGUAA